This 497-nucleotide ribosomal RNA is filed under the name uncultured bacterium. Its description in RNAcentral is "partial 16S ribosomal RNA". It matches the Rfam family "Bacterial small subunit ribosomal RNA", at positions 28 to 507 of the family's 1533-position model. The record is from RNAcentral.
GAUGAACGCUGGCGGCGUGCCUAAUACAUGCAAGUCGAGCGAACAGACGAGGAGCUUGCUCCUCUGACGUUAGCGGCGGACGGGUGAGUAACACGUGGAUAACCUACCUAUAAGACUGGGAUAACUUCGGGAAACCGGAGCUAAUACCGGAUAAUAUAUUGAACCGCAUGGUUCAAUAGUGAAAGACGGUUUUGCUGUCACUUAUAGAUGGAUCCGCGCCGCAUUAGCUAGUUGGUAAGGUAACGGCUUACCAAGGCAACGAUGCGUAGCCGACCUGAGAGGGGGAUCGGCCACACUGGAACUGGGACACGGUCCAGUCUCCUACGGGGGGCAGCAGUAGGGAAUCUUCCGCAAUGGGCGAAAGCCUGACGGAGCAACGCCGCGUGAAGGAUGAAGGUCUUCGGAUCGUAAAACUCUGUUAUUAGGGAAGAACAAAUGUGUAAGUAACUAUGCACGUCUUGACGGUACCUAAUCAGAAAGCCACGGCUAACUACGUG